RNAcentral lists this long non-coding RNA (255 nucleotides) under Homo sapiens (human). RNAcentral describes it as "HSALNT0336991". The record is from RNAcentral. Lineage: Eukaryota; Metazoa; Chordata; Mammalia; Primates; Hominidae.
CACCGACCCUGGCAAACUGCAGGAGACAUUCAGUCCACGCCACAUAAAAACUAUUAAAGUGGGAUCGCCGCAGUUGAAAAGCCCGAUCAGUGCCUGGAGAUUAGAACGCGAGCCUUUAAAGUACACACGCACCCGGCACCGGGAAAGCCCAGGCGCCUGUGACCCUCCGAAGGACUCUGGUGUCGAAGUUUCCCCUUCGCGCUGUGCCUCUGGUGAAAACAGGACAUCCCCUUCGGCCACCCCACAACAAAUAGC